CCAAUAGCGUAUAUUAAAGUUGUUGCAGUUAAAAAGCUCGUAGUUGAAUUUCGAGAUCAAAUUGAUGGUCGUGCCUCGGUACGUACUGGUAAUUUUGGUUUCUCCCUUCUGAAGAACCAUGAUGUCAUUAAUUUGGUGUCUUGGGGAAUCAGGACUGUUACUUUGAAAAAAUUAGAGUGUUUAAAGCAGGCUCGCGCUUG
RNAcentral lists this ribosomal RNA (200 nucleotides) under uncultured Glomus. RNAcentral's name for it is "partial small subunit ribosomal RNA". It matches the Rfam family "Eukaryotic small subunit ribosomal RNA", at positions 591 to 797 of the family's 1831-position model. The record is from RNAcentral. Lineage: Eukaryota; Fungi; Glomeromycota; Glomeromycetes; Glomerales; Glomeraceae.